RNAcentral lists this small RNA (877 nucleotides) under Pongo abelii (Sumatran orangutan). Its description in RNAcentral is "retained intron". The record is from RNAcentral. Lineage: Eukaryota; Metazoa; Chordata; Mammalia; Primates; Hominidae.
UACUGCUGGCUACGCAGGCAGGCGGCCCUGCAGAGGAGGCUCAGUGCCAUGGAGAAGGGGAAAUUGCACAAGCCAGGAAAGGACGCGUCGAAGCGCGGGCGGCAGGUUAGCGGGACUUGGGGCCUGGACAAGAUGGGAAAGAGAACCCUGGGAGCCGCCGGGCAGCAGUGAGGGGUGGGAUGGGAACAGUCAAGCCCCAAUCGCUCGGUGACUGAUGUGUGCGCCCCUCCCCCAGACGCCAGUGCUGUAUGCAAUGCUGGACCACAGCAGAAGCACCAAAGCUGUCAGUGAGAAGAAGGCCAAGGGGCUGGGGGAGUCUCGCAAGGAUAAGAAAUAGCGGUUAGCGGGCCGGGCGGGGGGUCGGGGGUUAGGGGUGGAGCCCGCCAAAGGCCCAAAGGUGGUGGUCAUCGAGAUGGAGCUACGAAAGGAUGAGCAGAGCUCGGAGCUCCGGCCUGCUGUCAAGUCCCCCAGCAGAACCAGCCUCAAAAACGCCCUCAAGAACAUGAUGGGCCUGAACUCGGACAAGUGAUCACCACCCCCCACCCCAGGCCCUGCCACAGCAGGGGGACCUAGGCUCCUCUUACCCUCGUCUAGGUGCUUUCCCUCUUUGCUCCCCCGCCCUGCCCUGCCCUCACCUCCCUUUGAGAUGUAAGUUUCAUUCCAGAAUUCAUUCCCCAGGCAAUUGUAUUCUCCCCUACCUUCACCCCUGGCUUUCUGGGAGCCCAGGAGCUAAUCCUACCCCUCACCUGCCCCAGGGGCUGUGUGUUUGGUGCCUGUCCACCUGAGCACUGAGAAGAAAGGGACUUUGAUACCCUCUGCCUCAAGUCCAGGCAACCUGGCAUUCCCAUCUCCUGCAUCCCCCAGCCUGUCCCGCUGG